This is a long non-coding RNA of Physella acuta, 329 nucleotides long. RefSeq lists it as uncharacterized. NCBI's taxonomy places the organism in Eukaryota, Metazoa, Mollusca, Gastropoda, Physidae. The record is from RefSeq and is a predicted model, not a curated record.
CAGGGGACAAAAUGUCACGCCAGACCAAGUCAGUGCACUGUCACUGGUGUCAGGGCGCAUACGGUCCAGGCGUAGUGCACUUGGGAGGGCUUAUAAAGGCAGUUUGAGUGCAGGUGUUUGGUCGAGGAGGACAUCCAUUUAAACGUAACUGUUUUGACUUCACCGCGUAGUUAUGGGUUGCGGGCUUUCUACAAUGGCGAGUAUGGCUGACAAGGGUCAUGGCCCAUUUGGGGGUCACGGUCAUGGACACAGUGGCUCAAGGGGAGGUCAAGGUCACGGUCACGGUCAAGGACACAAUAACAGGGGCAGCAAAUAGCAUCUCCACGCCC